UACGUAGGUGACAAGCGUUGUCCGGAUUUACUGGGCGUAAAGAGCGCGCAGGCGGUCGAUCAAGUCGAGUGUGAAAGCCCCCGGCUCAACUGGGGAGGGUCAUUCGAUACUGGUCGACUCGAAGGCAGGAGAGGGUAGUGGAAUUCCCGGUGUAGUGGUGAAAUGCGUAGAUAUCGGGAGGAACACCAGUGGCGAAGGCGACUACCUGGCCUGUUCUUGACGCUGAGGCGCGAAAGCUAGGGGAGCAAACGGG
Molecule: ribosomal RNA, 253 nt
Filed under: uncultured bacterium
Lineage: Bacteria
Description: partial 16S ribosomal RNA
Rfam family: Bacterial small subunit ribosomal RNA
Source: RNAcentral